GUGAGUUCUCACUCAUUUUGUUCAGAUUUUCCAAGGAAUGCAUAUGAGGGAGUCAUCAUCGAUCCGAGCACGUUCUGCCAACCUGGACAAACUAACCAGGCAGGCUGGGGGGCUCCGCAGCGGGCGAGCCGAUCGCCUCAUGGGCGCCAGCGGCCUGGAGAAUCCAGAGCCGAGCCCCGCCGGAGCAGGGGCAACAGUCAGUCCGCCCUCAGAGCACGACGCCGCGGGCCCCCGGGCACACGCGCCCAAGAAGCCUCUGAGGCAGGUCUAGCGAAGCCCUCAGGGCGAGAGGCCGAACUUGGGACAAAGCAAUGCUGACCGUCCUGGGCCGUCCGAGGGCGUGGUGCGCAUCCCGGGCCACACUUCCGCCGCGACUGCCUCGCACCUGCGCUCGUCACGGGACACGAAGGGUCUUCUCUUCUUGGGCGACGGCAAGCUUUGCUCGGAGAUCCCACCUGGGAAGUGCAGAGCAAUCGCACGCGCACGCCUCAGCGACCCAGCCAGGCUCUCAGGUAACCAGAGCCAGGCCAAGGGUUCCACCCCGACUCCCUGCCCCGGGGCAAGCCUUGCAUCUUCUUGGCCUCUACCUCUUCCCCUCAGGUGUGACAAGAAGGCGUGUGUGACAGCACAAGCGCAGGAAGGCGCGCAGGCGGGCGCGUGUGCGUGUCUUCGGGUGCGCGGGGCCCGAGACCCUGAAGAAGCACGUCUUCCGCACACAUCACUGGCCUCAGGCCCUGCCGCGAGACCAGGAGCUCGCGCUGGCGGCUUUGACCUCGACUCGCCCGGCGGCUCACCUCUGCCCUUUCGGCCUGCUGAAAUAGGCCACAGGCUCCCUCUCUCACAGCCCCUGCCUCUGAACACCGGAACACGACACUCCAGCAGGUUCACCCUCCGCCCGACCGUGGGCGCCCGCUGUCCCCGCACGCCGUGCCACGCGAACCGCGCCCGACGGAAACGCGCCGACCACUGCUGGACCUGAACCACGUAAAGCGCCUACACCACUCGAAGGCUGGCGCCGCUGGGACACGGGCUAGAGGGCAGAAGCAGCAGCCCCUCCUGAUCUCCAGUGGCCACGCCACCGGGGGACCGGGGGCCAGGCGCCUCUUCCUGCUGACUGAGGCUACACCCACGCCCUCAGCGGUGCCAGCGGCAGGGGAAGUGCCAGGAAGAGGUGGUCUGUGGCCACCACGACCCACGCUAAGACCCGACUGAACCUGGAGCCCACUCCCGUCCAGGGACCUGGCGUUACCACAGCGGGCCCGCUUUCUGGACCCCGGCCUUCCAGGACUCCUUCCCACCCACGCGCUGCCUGGCCCACCUCAGGCCUGCGAGGCAAGUCCCCCAAGCAGGACCUCAAACCCUACACACACGUGGCGGCCAGGGAGCCCCGGGGAGGACGGCCACGAGGGAAUCUCGACUGUGCGUACGGGACUCGACCCGUCACGUUCAACGUCUGGACCCUCCCUCGGCACCUGUAACACCACAAACGACCUCACACGGCCCCAAGGAUGGCUCUGUCCACGAAGGCAAGAGGAGGCACGGAACGAGCACACACACACCCCGCCCCCGCCACCCUUGGAGAGGCGGACGUUUUCCAAGGCGGACGUCUGUGCGCGGCAGGGCAGCUCGGGUCACGGCACCCGCCGUCUCCGCCAGGCCCACAGGCUUCCACGAAGAAACCUAAAGCCCUGCGACGAGGCAUGAGGCGAACCGCGCCAGGAAAAUCGGACCGUGCUGGAGGAACGCUUUCUCCUCGGAGACCCCGCGCCUGAGACGGGGGAGGAUCCAAGGCCACGGUCGCCCAAGCAAUCGAUGAGCAGCGGCGGCCGGCCGCCCGGCAGUCACGUGCCGGGCCCCUCUUCAAGGAACCGUGGAGAGAACCGCAGAGCGCCACCGCUCUGGAACAAGGCCCGCCAUCUGCCACAAAGGUCACCGACCACAGUGCACACCCCCGGGCCUUCAAGCCUCCAGCCUUCCCCGGCACGCACCAAUCGCCAGCCCCGUCAGAGCCAGGGCACGUUCCCGACAAGCCGCUGCCAGCGCUCGGAACACAACGAGGCAGCACGUCCCACGGAAGCCCACGGCAUCACACUGUGACCUGUCCUCUCCGUGCUCUUCUUCCCCCCCAGCUCCCCACGACCAGGCCAUCAGCCACCACAGUGUCCUGACCUGAGUGCCAGGCCCACAGCCCGGUCCCCGUUUGGGCACCUUGGCGUGGACUGGGCGAGCCGGAGAACUAGAGGAGCCCCAAGCUGCAGCACCAAAGUCUCACCCCUCCGGCGGCGCCCCAAACCGCGAGGGGUGCUCCAACUGCCUCACCAAGCCAAAAGGCAAGAACAGCUGACGGCCGCCCGCCUGGCCCGGGGCUCUCAUCAGAAACCACGCGACCUUCCACUGCUUACUGCUCAGCUCCGAGACGCAGACCCCCGGGGCCUUCGUCCCCGGCGGGAACCAGGCCCACACAGCCACAAGGCCCUGAGCUCACGGGGCCUGUGCCAGCGCCACACUCUCCGACUUCCCAACCUAGGAUGCGAGCUGCCAGCCACGGCCCUCAGCCACAGGCCGUUCAACCAAGCACCGCCGACUGACGGACACCCCCCUCACGCGGUGAGAGGAAGGACCCCCAAAUGCCACGGCUCCCAAAUGCGGACGCCCGGCGUGGUGCCCGUGCCCGUCCCAGUGCGCUCAAGGGGAAGCGGUCCCUCACUCCUGCCAUGCCUGGGGAAGACAACGUGCCGGACCUCAGUUUCGAUGAGAACGACGGUAGUG
Molecule: long non-coding RNA, 2769 nt
Organism: Equus caballus (horse)
Lineage: Eukaryota; Metazoa; Chordata; Mammalia; Perissodactyla; Equidae
Source: Ensembl